Molecule: RNA transcript, 12597 nt
Organism: Pelmatolapia mariae (spotted tilapia)
Lineage: Eukaryota; Metazoa; Chordata; Actinopteri; Cichliformes; Cichlidae
Gene: sfpq
Gene name: splicing factor proline/glutamine-rich
Exons: 12
Source: RefSeq, a predicted model, not a curated record
UUUAACUAUUGGUCGCCAUUUUGAGAACCUGCGAACAGCCUUUGGAGGUGGUUGUUGAGCAGCAGACCUUUAAUUCUUUUGGUAUUUUAAAAAUAAUUUUUGCCUAUAUAUUAGGACCAAUGUCUCGAUUCAACAAUAAUCGUGGCGGCUUUGGAAUGAAUCAUUUCCAGCCGCGCAGAGGAGGUGGGCCCGGCGGCCCCAUGCGAGGUGGGCUUAUGGGAAACCCAAAUUUUAGGAAUAAUCCUUUCCAGAAUCAAAAUCAAAACCGGAGGGGGCACAACUUCAACAGACCACCACACCAAGGAUCGCAGAACACUCCCCAGAAGCCGCAACAGAACCAGUCGCUACCCAUCAUCCCUCCGCCGACUCCAGGCCCGGCUCUCACGAUGGAAGGCCCGAUUAAGCAGCAACAGCAGCAGAAACCGGCACAAGAGCAGCAGAAAUCCACAACCCCUGCGCCCCAGCCGAAAGUUCAGUCACCACCACCCACACCUAACGUGACCUCCCCUCAGCCAAACCAGGCAAACAAGAACCUGAACCAGCAGCUGAAGUCACCCGUGGCAAAUGCUAACGGUCAGCAGCAGAAGCCGACUCCACACCCAAGCCCGAAAGCAGUUGGGCCGCAGCAAGGUCAGAAACCAAGCCCUCAGCAAAGCCAGAAGACUGGUCCCCAGCAAGGCCAGAAGCCAGGACCCCAGCAGGGCCAGAAACCGGGUUCCCAGCAAGGCCAGAAGCCAGGACCUCAACAAGGCCAGAGACCAGGACUUCAACAAGGCCAAAAUACAGGGCCACCGGCCAUGAAAGUCAAAGUGGAGCUCAGUCAACAGUCACGAGAGACCAUGAACACUGACGCAAGUCAGUCAGAAGAGAGCCAAUCUAAGGCUGAGUUCAAGGCGACGCUGUCCAUGUUGCUGAAGCCAGGUGAGAAGUCGUACACACAGCGGUGCCGCUUGUUUGUUGGUAACCUGCCCAACGACAUCACAGAGGACGAUUUCAGGAAGAUGUUUGCAAAAUAUGGGGAGCCCACUGAGGUCUUUAUAAACAAGGGGAAAGGCUUUGGUUUCAUCCGACUGGAAUCUCGGGCACUUGCAGAGAUAGCAAAAGCUGAGCUGGAUGACACACCGAUGAAGGGCAGACCCUUGCGUGUCCGAUUUGCUACACACUCUGCAGCUCUGUCUGUAAAGAAUCUGUCACCAUUUGUUUCCAAUGAACUCCUAGAGGAAGCUUUCUCACAGUUCGGAAUGGUAGAGAGGGCCAUUGUGGUUGUAGAUGAUCGUGGACGCUCCACGGGCAGAGGAAUCGUUGAAUUUGCCUCCAGACCUGCUGCCAGAAAGGCUUUAGAGAGGUGCAACGAGGGGGUCUUUCUGCUCACUACGUCUCCUCGGCCUGUUGUUGUCGAGCCUCUGGAGCAGUACGAUAGUGAAGAUGGUCUUCCAGAGAAGUUGGCACAGAAGAACCCCAAAUAUAAAACAGAGCGUGAGGAGCCUCCUCGUUUUGCCCGUCCAGGCACUUUUGAGUUUGAGUAUGCAAAGCGCUGGAAAUCCCUUGAUGAAAUGGAAAAGCAGCAAAGACAACAGGUGGAGAAGAACAUGCGUGAGGCCCGUGAGAAACUCGAGAGCGAGAUGGAGGAUGCUUACCAUGAGCACCAGGCCAAUCUGCUCCGUCAAGAUCUGUUGAGGCGACAGGAAGAACUGAGGCGUAUGGAGGAGAUGCACAAUCAGGAGAUGCAAAAGAGGAAGGAAAUGCAGCUCAGACAAGAGGAAGAGCGACGCAGACAGGAGGAGGAGAUGCUUCGGAAGAGAGAGUUGGAAGAACAGAUGCGCCGUCAGCGUGAGGAGAACUACAGGAUGGGCAGCUUUAUGGAUAGGGACAGAGAAAUGAGAAUGCAUCCUGGUGGAGCUUUGGGCAUGGGUGAUAUGUCCUUUGGUGGAUCCUCACAGAAAUUCUCUAUGGGCGGACUUGGGUUUGAGAGUCAGCAGGGGAUGGGAGGACCAGGAGGCCUGAUGGGCAACGAAAUGCGCAAUGAGCGUUUCACUCCGGGUGGUGCGAGGGGAAUGGGUCCUGGUAACCCCGGGUAUGGCAGGGUCCGCGAGGAGUUUGAUGGUCCUGCUAAGAAACCCCGUUUUUAAACGCUGCUCUUUUGAUGCUUCCGGCAGCACCAUUUGUACAGUUUUUCUCUAAAAACAAAAAUGUUGAUUCGAAUUUCUUGUAUUUAAGUUUAAAUUGUUAAAACAUUUUAGCCAAUUUACUCAGUUAUUGAAAGUCAAUAUUUUCAUUUUUUACUUUGUCUCUAGUCUGAAAAGAGAAGUUACUCUUAGGUGAUCCAGUUGUUCUUUUUGACCAUGUAUAAUUUUUUUUUUUUUUUUUUUUUUUUUUUUUUUAAGAUGUGUUAUGCCCUGUGAGUCGUCGUGAAGUGAUAACUGUAACAUUUUUUCUGAACUUCCUAUGGCUGUGUUUUGUGCCAUGCAUUUGGAGUCAACGCAUGUACUAUAAUAAAGAGACAUUGGUUCAAUCAGGAAAAACCUUUAACCUUUUAUUCUUAAAAAUGAAACGUGUAGUACGUUCAGAAAGCAGCAAUGGGCUGUUUGCGGAAGUUGAAUAAUGUGGUUACCUCUGCCACAUUAGCUCUUAAAGAUUCUAUGUGUUAUUUUCUCAAGUCCUGUCCACUUUAUUUCAGUGAUGCGUACACAGUCUGAAAAGAAUUAACUCGUGGUAUGACAGAAAUUAGCUGCAAGUACGACAUAGCUUUAAUCAGCAAAUUCCCACAUUGAAAUGUAUUGUAAAAAUAUUUAUUCAUCAAAGGAAUAAUCAUAUUUUUAACACCUGCUUAAAAAGACUCUAGACUGGGAAGCAGUGUUGAACAGGGUUCUCCAGAUCAUUGAAAAGUUAAUUAAAAUAAGAUUUAACACAUUUUAAUAUUUUUAUGUUUCCUCUAAAUUAGAUAUAGCAUUUGCAGGUAUAUUUAUUUUUAAGACAAAGUUGUUAAGAUUCAUUUUUAUAAAUCGGUUAUUAAAAUGGUCGCAGUCUUGUUUUAAAGAACUUCAUUUAUUUUUAAUAAUGCAGAGUGGCUCUGAUAUUAUAGCCCUGUUUUCAAACAAGUACGUUUCCUUUUAUUUUUUUGAAAAAGGGGAACUUUUAGGCUUUUUCUUGGUUUUUAGGAGAGGCUUUUUGUGAGUUAUGUUGCAUUCAAUGAGUAACUCUGCUUUUACAGUCUUGCCUCUGGACAGAAGAAAUAUCACACAUGGAACCUUUAAGAAAACCUGUGUAAUACUGUGUGACUAACAGUGGUCUUACAGAAACAUAGUGCUGAAACCACACAGUCUGUCUUAGACAGGCAAAAUCCACUCAAGUGUGUGUCCUUGUGUGCAUGUUUGGAAGCUGGAGUUAUUGACUACAUUUACAUGCAGGUCAUUCUGUUAUUACUAUCAUUUCAAGCAUUUGUGAGGCAUUCUUUCAGAAGGAUAACUGUCAUAAAAAAUGCACAAAGCAAAUGCCACCAUCUUUAAAAAUGGAUGAUGUUGUUAAAUUGGGAUGAAAUUGUAGCGGUUUCUAUAUCAUUAUGUAAAGGAUUAAUUUUGAUAAUAAUGAAGGUUUCGAUAAGGGUGCACUGAUGUGAUUCUGGACUCCUAUAGGUUCUUUAAGGUGUUUGGGUUAACCUUAAGUGGUAGUAGUUCAAACAGCACCACGUUUCUGCAUCAGUAUAAAUUAUACAAUUGUAUGUAAAUGUAGUCAAUGAUGGUUAUGGACGAACUUGAGGCAUAUUAUAGGUCUAUAAAAGUUUGUGUGUAAAAUGUAUCUUUGGGGAAGUCCAGUGGCAAAUCUUGACAUCAGAUAUGUCCAUACUAUACUUAAACGCCUUGGAAGAUCCAUACUUGGAUACGUAUGUCAAGUCUUAGAAUUUCUAAAAGUCAAGUAACUAGCAACCAAUGGUUCAUCAGAGAUCUGACUUUUCAGGCUGUGACAUCAUAAAUGACUGAGUCACUGUUGGAUUUUGGAAAAUGAUUUUCAGUUAUAAAGCUCUAAUUUUGCUAGAGCAGCACGAAGACAAUAAGUCCCUUUGCAAGAGCGCAUAGGAUGCCCUAGUUUUCAAAACCGCAUGGAUGUGUGCAGUGGGGUUAAACGACAGUCUGAUUUGCACCUUUUCUAUUUCACUCUUAUGUUCUGGUGUAUCAGUUAACUUUUGAAAGACCAGCACUACUGUCUCAUUUAAAACUAGAGACUCCAAUGCUAUUGUAUCAACUUUGUCAACAGGGUUCAUGUGCUGUUUUUUUUCCAAGGACCUGCCUUGUUUGUGGUAAAUUUAUCACUAUUCCCUUCUCAGACUGACUUGUAUGACAAAUUGGGUUACAUUCAGGAGAACCCUUUCUCAAUCUCUGCGGAAAUGUUUAGCUGUAUCUGCAUUAAUGACUUUAAUGGCACCUGCCAUUAUAAUGGCAAUAAUAUCCUGUACUAUUAGGAUAUUCACAUUAUCUCCAAACACAGCACGAGAUCUAAUUAUUGGCUAAUUUCAUAUAAAGAGAAAUGGUCUUUGUUCUCUGACACCCCCCCCCCCCCCUCAAAAAAAAAAUAUCAGUAAUAAUGUAAGGAUGGCCCAACCAAAAUUGAGUGCCAUAAUUAAAUGGACACCUUCCUUCAUUCACAAGCCUACCUUUACAAGCUUUUGUCAGAGUUGUCUGGUAAGAGAUGGCCUGAAAAGUGAAUGUAAGUAAUUUUGAUCUUUUAAUAAUUUCAACUUUUGUUAUUAAGCAGAUUUUAUUUUUUGCGUGUAUUAACUUGGCUGUGUUCUAUUCCACUAGCUUUAACUUUGACAUUCUGUGAAUCAUUGAAAGUAUUUUUCAUUCAACAUUAGUUAUAAUUUUGUAGUUGGUGAAAGCUGGUUAAUUGCUGACCUUGCACAGCAACUAGCUGAUCAUUGUAGCUUUUUCUGUUUUUUCUUCAUGUAGAAGAAAAUGUCCUCCAUUUAAACAUGGAUUACAUAAGACAUCAAGAAUCAAAUAUUUUUAGUGCACCUGUUAAUGUCCUUCACAUAAUCAAACAUGCAAUGAAGGUAAGGAUUUUAACUUUAAUGUCUUCUCCUAUCAUGUGGCAUCCCAGAAUCCCACAAAACAAACCUGAAAUGGCCACAGAACAGAAGAUUUGGAUGUGUGGAUGCAUUCAGUAAUGGAAAGGAUAUAAAGGAGUGUUUAUCUCAAAUGUUACUUGUGUUUGUGUUAUGUACAUGUUUUCUUUAACAGGUAUGGACGGCUUUAAAGAUAAUGGACUGUGGCUGAAGUGUGGCUGGGUAGUGAGGACUUGGAAAAGCUGUAGCUAAGAAACUCAAACGCUGGAUCUGACACUAGUGAAAGUAGUGAGAUAUAAUCCGUAUUUAAUCCUGUACAUACAGUACAUGAUUUCCUUCCAAGAGAGUAGUCUAAUGAGGUACAUUAAUUAGAUGCUUGUCGUUGUGAUAUGGUAGUCAAACCCCUGGGAAGUCAACUGGAGUGUGAUUCUAAUCCAUCCUUGUAGCAUUCCUGAUGAAUUAGAAAACUUAUUAUUUUAUCCAAUAUUGUGUACUUUAAAUAUUUAGUGUAUAUUUUCUUAUUCAAUUUUGAAAAAAGUUUCAAAAAUUCAGUAAUAGUAAUUCACAGUGGAAUGCAAGAAAUUUUAAUUAAUAUAGUGCAGAUUAAUAUCUAUAAAUACACUUAAAGGCAUUCAAAAAUAUCAUAACUCACUGAUCUGAUGUGGGAAUGGAAUUUAAUGCCUUCAAAGUCCACAACACUAAAUUUGUGUUGGUCGGUUAUUUCUAAAUAUUCAAAAGAAUAAUGGUAUAGGUUUAAGGCACUAAUUGUUCUUUGCGACAUCAGUGCAUUGAGUAUAAUUUUCACAUCACACUACAUCUUAAUGAUGGAUUGUUAUGCCAGCUUUUUAAAAAAUAUAUUUUACAAAGAGAAAGCCUGUCUACAUGGUUUAUAUGCUCGUAUUAAAUGGUCAAUUUUGGAUGAGCGUUUUUCAUUGUAAAAUAACCAAAUCCUAUAACUAAUAGUUAUUUGUAGAGAUGUAUUUGCCAAAUUUUUCCUCAUUCUUUAGAGGAAUGAUUCCUUUUUAGUGCAGUGGCAUGCACUCUGAAUUUUUCUCUGAGUGUAUGGACACAUGACUGGAUUUUCAGAUUAAAAUAAAUGUUCCUCAAAGUAGUUGUGACAUAACUGAAAAACCGAAAAGGAUGUUGAAAGUCAAAUAGUCUCCAACAUUUAGGAAACAGUUUAGAUCUGCAAUCAAAGGUUUGUAGGUACCUUUAAAAUAUGCCCUUUAUACACCAAAUUCCUUUUAGGUAAAACAUUUAGAAAUGCAUCACUGCUUUUAGAUUAAAUUACAUUUUACUGGCUUAAACAUAGUUCUUUUACUUCUUAAUAACAUAGUGUGCAUUUUGAACUUUGUAACGUUGUCUGUGUUGUGUACAACUUGUUUUUCUUUAACAGGUUUGACCAUCUGUUAAGGUGUUGGACUAUGAAAAGGAAGUUGCCAAGCCAAGACAUUGAGAGUCUGUAGCUUCUGUUGGAGCGGUUUUGUAAAUGAAACUGUGUCACUCUAAAGGACCAGAGUGAUCAGAUAAUAGUGGCUCUGUAGCUUGGACUGUAGGUUAGAAUAUUUGGGGAUUUAAAUAUUUGGCUAUUGCUCUCGCACAAGUACACCGUUUUAAGGAAAAUUCUUAUAUUUAUGUCUAUUGUAUGUUUACAGUUGCUAUACUUUAAUGCAGAAAAAAUCCCUUUCUGCUAUUUUGACAUGAAAAUAAACCCUUGACAUUCUUAAAGGGGCCCGGUUACCCACUCCAUAUUUUUGUGUUCCACUUUGUCUUGUGCAUAUUGUACUGACUCUUUUUGCAGCCAUGCAAUUCACUCUAUCUUCAAGCUAGGUCUUCUGUCUUUGAGGUCCGUUUAAGAGUCCUCAGAUUUUCCUUUAUCCUUAUUUGCCACCUUCUGGAAGGACCUUGAGGUUCUUAGUUGUACUGGUCACAGAUGAUAGAUUCCAGAUAACAACUAAAAUGUGACAGAAGUAGAAAGUAUUCUGUAAAAUGUAUUGAGGACAGUUUGAAGGAUUUGACUCUUAUAAAUUAAUUCUAAAAUUUAAGUUUUAAGAAGAGCAUGUGAAUUUGUUACAUUUUUAUAUAUGAAAGAAAUAACGGAACUUGUUCUAGUUCCUCUUUAAGAGAUUAAGAGACUUUCAACAUUUAACUCAAAAGAUGGUAAUUACUGAGGCCUGAAACUGUGAACUGAGUUUGAUAUUGCCUACAUGUUUUAAUGUAUUCAAGUAAAAAUAGCUGUGAUGCUUGCUUAUACAGUGCUAUCAAACCAAAGCAAGUUACAUUACACAAAUACAUGGAUUACAUGUUGUAAAGUCCAGUGGAAUUAUAAAAACAAAAGAGGAACACAUUUACUCAACAUUUGAGGUCUGAAAUCGAUGCCUCUUUAUAGAUGUUUUUGACUGGAAUUAUGGUGACAAUGGAAAGCUUUGACAUUCAAGUAAAGUCGCAGCCACAGGCAAGUGAAACAUUGCAGUUAUCAGACUCUUCAUAAAUGGAAAUCAAACUUUUUGACAGUCACUCUUAACAGCUUUAACAAUUGUCUAAUGAUCACACAGCACAGGUGUGAUCAAUAUAGCAACUAAUUAAGAUCCAUGGUGGGAAAAAUGACCUGCUGCCUUCUAGGGGUGUAACGGUACGUGUGUGACGUUAAGUGCUAACAUGUAUACGUUUCUCUGUAGGAGGAAAAAGACUGCCCGUACCAGUGAUAUCCACAUACAAUCUUAUUUUUACUGCUACAUGAUUAGUUAAGGUUUUGGUUUUUUUUGCUUAAUAGAUAAAAAUUAAUGUCAUCUGUUAGACAGUGAGCUGAAUCCAGAACCAGUUUUAGGUAUUACUCUAGUGUUACUCUAGUAUUACUCUAACCUCAUGUUUAACUAAUUUAUCAGUUGGACUAAAAUCAAAAAAUCUCACCCUGUACUAUUUACACUUCGACUACAUGUAGUUCUCGUGUUUCACAGCUCAGUGAGCUCAGCUUUUAACGUCUUUAGAAACUUUUAUUGUAUUUCUUCAGUGCAAUCCAAUCCAAGGUCUUUUUCUUGGUUCAGUAGAAAGAGGGUUUUUUUUUCUGAUGGCAUUGACAGUCACACCAUUAGGAUUUCUAAAUGCACUCUAAUAAUGUGAUUCUGCCUAACCUGUUAAGGAGCAGAAUGUCAUUUUCUUUUCCAGAACAUGUUUGCUGUACACCAGGUAUGCAUUGGCCAUAUACUCUGGUAGGAGUAUUCUUGAAAGCUCAGCCAGAACUCUUCCACUCUGUGCUAACUCACACAACAUAUUUUAUAUUUAAACAUUAUAUUUAACUGAAACAUGAGUGCUCACAACAAACAAUACCUAUUCUGACAGUUCAGUUGUCCUCUUUUCAGGAGUUUUUUUUAAAUUAUUACUAGUGUUUAAACCUUUUUAUGAUUAAAUCAUUCCCCAAAUAUGGGAAAGUAUUUCUCUUUAUUCUCAAUUGAGUUUCUUUUGUCAAAGUAAGAAUUAUGGCCAACUUUUAAUUUAAAAAAAAAAAGAGGCUGCUCAUAGGAUAAUUUUGACUUUUGUUAGUCUUUUGUUGCCUCUACCAAAAAUAUACCACACUGACUGUUACAUCCCCACUCCCCACACUUUACAUUGUGACUCAAGUUUUAUGUAACAACUUUUUACUCCAGCACAUAGUCUCAUCAGUUCUGUCUGAAUUACCAUAAUAGUCAGAGCUACACCAGCAGACCGAUCAAGCUCACAUACCUGAGUGAGGCAGGAAGUUCGAUGCUGUCUUACGGUUGAAGAGGCAGCGGCUUGUUGUGCCUGUCUGGUUGUGCGUGUUUCAUGUCUUUGAGUAAAAGAGGUGCAUUAGCUGCUGUCAGCCAGCUUGUCAAAGACAGGCUGCCCCAGUCCACAGUAGAGGCUCUUCUCUGCAGUUGGGUUACAUUGACGAUGAGUAGUUCUGCAGAUGUCAGUGGACAGUAAAGCCUGGACUUGUUUGCACUGCAGCCAGAGGUAUGCUUACACAGAUCAGCUGAACAAGUAAGGUAAGUGUCCCAUCCAUGUUUAUAAUGCAAGAUGCACAGUUGUCCCAUGACUUAACUCUUCUGUCUUCUUAUUCCACGUCACUGCUCACAGUGAUGUCUUCAGGGCUUCUGGCAUCACACUUUCAAAGAAUGGCAUCACAGUGCAGAUCUCCCUUCAUACUUCUUGGCAAUAGAUUUGCUGUAGCCUGUGGAGUGUGUGGUUGUAGUACUUUGGCUCCUCUGUAUGUGUGCAUGAAAACAAGUGUUUGUGUGGAUUCAAAUAUAUGAAACACAGCGCUGAAGUGAAAGGUGUUCUAUUCUCUAAGUAUUGCCUGGUACAUUUAAGCUCCUAAGUGGAAAAAGCAGAAGUCUUGUCUACAACCGUACACGGUGUUUUGCAUUUUGUUUCCUUUUCUCGAAAACUUUCAUAUUUGAAAGUGAUUAGUUUGGAAAAAGGCAGGGUGUUUGCAGCAACAAACUGGGGGGAGGGGAACAACCAAAGCCCAGCUCUACUAGAGGCAAAAUACUAUGAGAAACUCUUCUGCUUUGGCCAUAACUUUGUUUUUUAUGUUUUGAAAUACUUAGUGCUUUCUGAUUGCAGUUAAUUUAUUCCUGCUUUGAUAAAGUAAUAGUACUGUUAAACACACAGUGGCCUUUCAUCAGCACAUCCUCAGUCAGUCGCAAUGCAGUUAAAAUCAGUCAUGAAAAGUACUUUCACACUGUGUAAGCAGCACUUUUAUCUUUGAACCCUCUAUUAGCACUACUCCUGACCCCCUCGCCCUCUCUGCCUGUCUGAAAUGACAUACUGAUUGUAUUGGUACUGGGUUGGGUCUUUGAAGUGUCGAAGUGACUGUACAGAAUGCUGUGGCAAGACUUAACUGGCACUAAUAAGCGGUCACACAUUCCUUGGGUUUUGGCUUCUCUUCAUUGAUUGCCAGUAAAUUUUAGGUUUCGUUUUUAAAUUUUAGUUUUAACUAAACACCUCUACAUGGUGAAGCUUCCCAGUAUGUCUCUGACCUAUUGAAACAUCAUGCUUCUUACUGGUCACUUCAGGUCAGAGGUUACUGUUGGUCCUACGUAUUGGGUUCAAAACACGUGGGGAUCGGGCUUUUCAGGCACUAGGCUGUGGAAUUCUCUUCCACUGUCUUUACGCUGUACAAACUCCAUUGACUCUUUUAAAAAGCAGCUGAAGACAUUUUUAUACAAACAAGCUUUUAAAAAAUGUUUUCAUUGUUUAAUAUUAUUAUAUUUAUAUUUCAGGGUUUAUUGUGAAGCUCUUUGAUUUUUAUCUGUGAAAGUGCUCUAUUAAAGAUUUCACAUACUGUUCGGGUCACCCUGGGUGGGCCUAUAGAAUGCAGUGAUGCUUUCACCACUUCCCCAACCUUUCUAAGUUGGUAGUUUUUUCUUAAAAAUAUAUAACAAUACUUUUAUAAUUUUGUGCAUAAAUAACUGGUCAGACUUGUAUGUGGAGGAAAUAGAAACACAAAUGUGCACUGUUUUUACAAAGGACCACUCAUGUUUCAGUAAUCUGUUUUAAACAGAACGAGCAUGAAAGUUUAUACUGUACCAUUUCAUCAUGUAGAGCAUUUGGGCUUUAAGUUAUGUAGUGUUUGUUGUCAAUCUGAUUUUAAUUGCAUAAAGACAGUUUGCUGCUUCUCGUCUGUAGAAUGAAUUCGGUGUAAAACUAGUGAGAAAACUGUUGUGUUGAAGCUGUGAAUUUGAGCUAUGAAAUGACACAUCCCCAUUUUAGCUUUUGAAAGGGCAUGAUGCUAACUGUAGAUAGGUUAGUAACGCAUGACUGUAUUCGCUGUGAAAUCGUCAUUCUCCGUUUUGCAAACAAUGUACCGGCAGGGUGAAAGCUGAACUGAACAUCACACUCCUGGGUGUCUUUUCUUGUAUCUGGUUGCUGAAUAAAGACACUUUUAGGUGAAGGGCGCACUUAACACAAGAUAUGGGUUAAUCUAUAUUUAAAUUAAAAAACAAAACAAAACACACACUCAAAGCCUUAGGGUACAUCAUCAUAUUCUUCUUUGCCUAAUGCACUUCAAACUCACAAGGAAAUUAUUUGCUGAGGUCAUAAAAUUAGGUGCAGUAUCGUUUUCUUGACUUCCAUUUAGUCUGGCUUUUGUAAUCGGGAGUUGCCCGAAACAAAGCAGAUUUAAUUCACUCCCAUAUUAGCUUCACAUUUAAAAACAAUACUCAGUCCAUUGUGUGUGUGUGUGUGUGUGUGUGUGUGUGUGUGUGUGUGUGUGUGUGUGUGUGUAUAUAUAUACAAUCUGUAUUCUCAAACACUGUUUUUAGGAACAAAACUGAUGGUUGUGUGGUUUGUCGGAGGAAAUUUGGACAAUCGUUUUAAAGAGUGUCCAGUGAUCAGCUUCAAAUGGAACUUUUUCUUUCUUCUCUCAGUACCUCUUAUUCCUCAUUCCUUCCAGUGACUCAUGAAUGGCAUGUCAUGCACUGACCAGCCAGCCAUUUGAAUAAAUGUACACAAGAAGACUGUGGCAGUUUCGUAUGUUGCUUGUAUUUAGAUCUCUCAUCUCUGUAGGGCUCCGCUGCCCUUGAGUCUCUCGAGCUGUGGCUAGACUGUGUUCAGCCAAUGGCGGCUGUGAUGAUUUCAUCUCUGCACUGUGAUCCAUUUUCUAACCAUGCUCUGAGUCCUGAUUGGCUACAAUCCUUCCUUAUAUCCUGUUGGAGUGUGAUGCCAGAACUACCCUUCAGUCCUGUAAUGGCCUCUUCAGAAAGGGCCCUGCCCAGAGUCCGAAAGACUGACACUGAGAACGACCACGGCUUCGUCAGUGCUAGGUUUAUGGUGUAGCUCCAGUUUGGGGUACCUUUGCAGUAAAACACCUGAUGUGUCAGUAUGAAAGUCCAGCUUCACAUGGCUUAGUAACAGAUGGACCUACCUACCUCUCAAGGAUUGCAACGGAUUCGAAUGUUGUCAUGAAUUUGUCUGUCCUCUCUGCAGUUUGUAAUAAAUUAUUCAUCUUCUGGGUGCUGAGAUGCCCUUCAGUAACAAACACAUGCAUACACGUGCACACACUUCAUUCAUUCACACAUUUUACUUACCCUCACACGUUUAUGUUAGAACUAACUCAUUUUAUUUUAAACAUCUGUCACAUGACAUACAGCACAUACAACACAUACACCUACACACACCUACAUACCUACACACACACGCAGGCUCUCACUUUUGUGUGUUUAUGCAUUGCAACCACAGUGAGUAGGGUUUGUGAGUAAACCUGGUGAUCAGUCCACUGUCAGGCUCUCAUUGUCUGUCUCUUGCUGCAGGAUCCUCGACCAUUAGAGGGAGGCUGAGGAUCUGCACGGAUUUUCCACCGGAAAAUGAAGAUUGUCUUGUAAAAUGUCAAAGCUGGAGGAAGCUCGCUGUAACAGGACGCCAGGAUGACCUCCAGGCUGGCUCAUGUGCAGUUCAUCCUUCAAAACAUGGAUGUGAAAUGUGGCGGAGCAGUACCAGAACUCAUCCAGCAGAGGGCAGUCUGCAGUCCAGAGGAGAGAUGCACUGUUUUCUCUUAAUAAUAAAAGAUAUAAACCUGA